RNAcentral lists this long non-coding RNA (465 nucleotides) under Oryza brachyantha (malo sina). RNAcentral's name for it is "long non-coding RNA (OBRA_LNC001214)". The record is from RNAcentral. Lineage: Eukaryota; Viridiplantae; Streptophyta; Magnoliopsida; Poales; Poaceae.
AUGGAAGCAGCUGGUGAUCCCUUCUCGCUUCCAAGUACUCCAUGAAUGUAACAACUUGAUGUGACCUGAGUUCUUCUCUCCUCUCCUCUCCCUCCUCGUCAUCUUCCUUCUUCCCUCACCUCGCGCCCGCUGGCCAGAUGUUUCUCCACUCCCUCUUGAUGCAAAACAUGGCCAAGAACAGUACUGCACAGCAGCAGACGAGGUACGUACGCACGCACGGCACGCUUGCAUGCGCGCGCGCAAUUGGGCGUGCUUUGGUUUUUCAUGACGACGUACGGGGUUGGCUGAUGUGAUGCUUCCAUGCGAUGCGAGCGCGCAGGUCGAAAGAGAGCGGUGGCGGCGCGGGGAGAUCGAGAGGGAUGUCGUCCAAGAAGUCGCCGUGGUACCAGCGGGCGGUGGAGGUGCUACUGCUCAUAUGGAAGCAGCCGGCUGGUGCGGGGACGACGGCGACGACGAAGGCCGCGG